Molecule: non-coding RNA, 1547 nt
Organism: Lolium perenne
Lineage: Eukaryota; Viridiplantae; Streptophyta; Magnoliopsida; Poales; Poaceae
Source: RefSeq, a predicted model, not a curated record
GCAUCGAUUUAGUUCACCCCAUUCUAACCUUCUGUGCAAGGUUGUUCGGCUAACAUUGAGUUCCCUUGCUAGAGCUCUGACUGUUUUUCUUCUAUUCAAUGGGAUUGAGGUUACCCUGGAGAGCUCUAGAUCUUUUCUCUUACGUCCAACUCUGCCUUUUUUCUUCGAUGAAACAUCUACUUCUUGCCCUGCUGCAAUUUGUAGUCGUGCUUCUUUCCAGAUUUUUUCAACUGUACUUAGACUUGUCUUUAAUAGACCAGCAACAAGCUCCUUGUCUUUUUUAUCCACCUUUCCAUCUCUGGUCUGUAUAAAUUGCAUUGCAAAGUAAGCUCCAAAUCUUGCUUGGUCUGAUAGGUCUUUUCCAGAUGGCUGCCCAACACCUCCUGCAUCAUUGACGACAUAGCCGUUAUCUCCUUCGAGUACUUCCACUUCAACCAUGAUGGAACUGCAUGACAAGAAGAACAGAUAAGUACUCCCUCCGUUCCGGAAUAUGCUUGUGCAAAUCUGAUGAUGAUGCUUGUGCUUGUGCAAAUCUGAUGAUGAUGCUUGUGCUUGUAAGAACUACGCUUGCAAAUCUGCUGAUGUUUGUGCUUAUGCUUGCUUGCAAUAUUUGAGUUACUCAAUUCUUAGUCUUAGUUUCUUGUGCUAAAAUUGUUAUACUCCAUGAAAGUAAAUUUGCUCUAUUGUUGUGAAGGCUUAUCGGUACUUGGUUAAUACUCCAUCGCCGCAAUUUAGGAGUACAAGAUGAGUGGAUGUUUAAGAUGGCGUGGUCAUCUUCCAUCGUGCCAUCACGCACAAGCUCAACCUCAUGGUGUUGAGGAAGAAGAUACUGUAGAAACUGAAGGUUGGGGCCAAUCUGAGGCAGGUAGCGGAGCUGCCGUUCCGGCGGCAUGGCAAGCUGGGGCAAGGCGAGGUGAUCUGCGGCCGGCGGAGGCAGGUGGCGGAGCUGUCGCUCCGGCAGCGCGGCGAGCUGGAGCAAGCGGAGGUGGUUGGCGGAGCAACCACUCUGAGGCAGGUGGCAGAGCUGCUGCUGCUCCGGCAGCAUCUCGAGCUGGAACAUGGCGGGGUGAUCUGCGGCAGGCGGAGGCAGGUGGCGGAGGUGCUGCUCCGGCAGCAUGCUGAGGCUGAGGUCCAGCGAGCUCGGAUUGCUGGCGAGCUCGGAUCAAUGGCGAGUUGGGGGCCAUAUUAGACGUAUCGCAGGUGUUGGCGUUCUUGGCGAGCUGGACGAAGGUGCUUGAUCGAUCCCAGCGAGCGAAAGAGGUGCGCUGGAUCGAUCCCAGCUAGUGAGCGGAGGAGGUGCGCUGGAUGGCCCAGCUAGUGAGCGGAGGAGGUGCUGGAUUGAUCCCAGCUAGCGGUGGCGCUGGAUCGAUCCCAGCAGCUGGGAUCCAUCAGCGAGCGGAGGUGCUGGGCACUAGCGGGAUGGAUCUAGAUCUAAGCGGAGAGGUGGAUUGAGAUGUAAAGAUUUCAAAAUAUUUCGGACGAAAAUGUAAUUUACCUUUUCUGAAACGUUUUCCCCUCCCUAAGUUAAUUAAAUCGGGACGGAGGGA